RNAcentral lists this ribosomal RNA (483 nucleotides) under Carlius fecundus. Its description in RNAcentral is "partial 16S ribosomal RNA". It matches the Rfam family "Bacterial large subunit ribosomal RNA", at positions 1917 to 2611 of the family's 2925-position model. The record is from RNAcentral. Lineage: Eukaryota; Metazoa; Arthropoda; Insecta; Phasmatodea; Phasmatidae.
UUUUUAUUUAAUGGCCGCGGUAUUCUGACCGUGCAAAGGUAGCAUAAUCAUUAGUCUAUUAAUUGUGGACUUGUAUGAAUGGUUGGACGAAAUAUUGACUGUCUCAAUGUUAAAUUUAAUUUAAUUUAAAUUUUGAGUUAAAAUGCUUAAAUUUUUUUAUAGGACGAGAAGACCCUAUAGAUCUUUAUUUUCUUUAUUAUAUAUUUAUUUUAGUUUAUUUUUUUUUUAUAAUUUAUUUUAUUUUGUUGGGGUGACAUGGGGAUAUUUAUAACUCCUUAUUUUUUUUUACAUUUAUUUAUGUAUUAUUGACCUUUUAUUAUUGUUAUAAGAUAUAGAUACCUUAGGGAUAACAGCGUAAUUCUUUUUGAGAGUUCUUAUCGACAAGGGAGAUUGCGACCUCGAUGUUGGAUUAAGAUUAUAGCUAGGUGUAGAUGUUUAGUUAUUAGGUCUGUUCGACCUUUAAAUUCUUACAUGAUCUGAGUC